UACGUAGGGGGCUAGCGUUGUCCGGAAUCAUUGGGCGUAAAGAGCGUGUAGGCGGCUUGGUAAGUCCGCUGUGAAAGUCCAGGGCUCAACCCUGGAAUGCCAGUGGAUACUGUCAAGCUAGAGUCCGGAAGAGGCGAGUGGAAUUCCUGGUGUAGCGGUGAGAUGCGCAGAUAUCAGGAGGAACACCAAUGGCGAAGGCAGCUCGCUGGGACGGUACUGACGCUGAGACGCGAAAGCGUGGGGGAGCAAACAGG
RNAcentral lists this ribosomal RNA (254 nucleotides) under uncultured bacterium. Its description in RNAcentral is "partial 16S ribosomal RNA". It matches the Rfam family "Bacterial small subunit ribosomal RNA", at positions 524 to 776 of the family's 1533-position model. The record is from RNAcentral.